UGGGGAAUAUUGCACAAUGGGCGCAAGCCUGAUGCAGCCAUGCCGCGUGUGUGAAGAAGGCCUUCGGGUUGUAAAGCACUUUCAGCGGGGAGGAAGGCGAUAAGGUUAAUAACCUUGUCGAUUGACGUUACCCGCAGAAGAAGCACCGGCUAACUCCGUGCCAGCAGCCGCGGUAAUACGGAGGGUGCAAGCGUUAAUCGGGAUUACUGGGCGUAAAGCGCACGCAGGCGGUCUGUCAAGUCGGAUGUGAAAUCCCCGGGCUUAACCUGGGAACUGCAUUCGAAACUGGCAGGCUAGAGUCUUGUAGAGGGGGGUAGAAUUCCAGGUGUAGCGAUGAAAUGCGUAGAGAUCUGGAGGAAUACCGGUGGCGAAGGCGGCCCCCUGGACAAAGACUGACGCUCAGGUGCGAAAGCGUGGGGAGCAAACAGG
Molecule: ribosomal RNA, 429 nt
Filed under: Chloroflexota bacterium
Lineage: Bacteria; Bacillati; Chloroflexota
Description: Chloroflexi bacterium partial 16S ribosomal RNA
Rfam family: Bacterial small subunit ribosomal RNA
Source: RNAcentral